CCAGACUCCUACGGGAGGCAGCAGUGGGGAAUAUUGCACAAUGGGGGAAACCCUGAUGCAGCGACGCCGCGUGGGCGAAGAAGUAUUUCGGUAUGUAAAGCCCUAUCAGCAGGGAAGAAGAAAUGACGGUACCUGACUAAGAAGCCCCGGCUAACUACGUGCCAGCAGCCGCGGUAAUACGUAGGGGGCAAGCGUUAUCCGGAUUUACUGGGUGUAAAGGGAGCGUAGGCGGCGAUGCAAGUCAGAAGUGAAAGCCCGGGGCUCAACUCCGGGACUGCUUUUGAAACUGUGUUGCUAGAUUGCAGGAGAGGUAAGUGGAAUUCCUAGUGUAGCGGUGAAAUGCGUAGAUAUUAGGAAGAACACCAGUGGCGAAGGCGGCUUUCUGGACGGAAACUGACGCUGAGGCACGAAAGCGUGGGGAGCGAACAGGAUUAGAUACCCCGGUAGUG
Molecule: ribosomal RNA, 449 nt
Filed under: uncultured bacterium
Lineage: Bacteria
Description: bacterial SSU rRNA
Rfam family: Bacterial small subunit ribosomal RNA
Source: RNAcentral